RNAcentral lists this long non-coding RNA (1242 nucleotides) under Sorghum bicolor (sorghum). RNAcentral describes it as "long non-coding RNA (SBIC_LNC017391)". The record is from RNAcentral. Lineage: Eukaryota; Viridiplantae; Streptophyta; Magnoliopsida; Poales; Poaceae.
AAUGCAUCUUAGUUAUUUGUCUUUAAAUUCGGUUUAGAUUUACUAUUAUUGUCAGUUUGCUACUAGUCAUUUGUAAUAAAUGCCUCAAGAUUAAUAAAGAUUAUUAUUACUAUUAUUAUGUCUUGUGUGUCUCUACUUUAUUCUUGUGCAAGAAAGGAGAAAACAAGUAUGGGGGAGAUCCCUCGACAUGCCAAACACACUACGACUACACCACUCCACGAUUCAGGUACACACUCUGCACACUUUACACAUACACAUAUCUUCGAUUAUGUAGAAUAUUGUCUCCGACAUGAUAAAUUAAAAAGAUUAAAAUGUUUCUAAUCAUGAUUAAUCUCAUUCUGUGAUAUUUCCUGAAAACCUGCAAUCAUUGAAAAAUCAUUUGAAAACCCUGUGUUACUUAAGUCAUUGUGGAAUGUGAGAUGGAAGAGUAUGAGUUUCUUAUUCUUGAUAUCAAUGCUGCUUGGAGAAUUUAUUUUAAAAUCUUCAAAAUUCUAGCUACCAUCCUCAGUGUUUUAUAUGUCUGAUAAAACUAAAAAUAUUAAUUAUGAUUAUAAAAGCUAUCUACUCUGUAUUGAGUUUGAUCAAAAUGAGUUAGACCCUUGUUGAGAGAUUUAUCAUGCUCCUAAGAUCAAGACAUUUAUUCACAAAGAUUCACUCUUCCGAAGUAUUAUUGCAUUAGAGGCAUGGGCUAUGCAAAAAUAUAAUUUGAGGAAAUAAAAAGGAGCAAGUGCUCGAUAACCUCGCAGAAAAAAUAGACAAGUGUCCGGCAGUAGAAUUAGGGGUACCUCGGUAUCCACUUAAAAAAAGAAGAAAAAAAGAGAGAAGAAUAAAAUGAUAGCCCAUGGUCCCUCUAAUAAGCAAUAUGCCAGCAAGAGUUGACAAGUUUUUAAUUUCCAAAGUCUUUGAUCUAAGAGUAUGGCAUUCUUCUCCUUGGAAACCGUUUUUAUCAGACAAUAAAUGCAAAGUAAGUAUGCUUGAGAAUUUUUGCAAAUUAAGACAGCCUCAGUGAGAUAUAAAAGAAAAUGAGUGACCUGAGAGAACCUAUGAGGAUAAAGGUAUGCUAAAUUUCUUUUCAAAAAUAUACAAAAACUCCAAGUGACGGGAUUGAGAAGAAAGGAUCUCUACUCUUAACCAUAUAUUUCCCUGACUACAAUACACAGUGAAUUUUUACAACACCCUAUAGGUAUGAAGAAAAUGCUUUACAAUAUUUUAACCCCAGAUAUUUUUCUUAACCAUCCUUUU